UAUGACCACACCACCCUGAACAUGCCCAAUCUCAUCCAAUCUUAGAAACUUAGCAGGGUCGGGCCUGGUUAGUACUUGGACAGGAAACACCAGAAAGACCAUCACAC
RNAcentral lists this ribosomal RNA (107 nucleotides) under Carlito syrichta (Philippine tarsier). Lineage: Eukaryota; Metazoa; Chordata; Mammalia; Primates; Tarsiidae. The record is from RNAcentral.